This is a long non-coding RNA of Cygnus olor (mute swan), 3270 nucleotides long. RefSeq lists it as uncharacterized. The record is from RefSeq and is a predicted model, not a curated record. The transcript has 3 exons. NCBI's taxonomy places the organism in Eukaryota, Metazoa, Chordata, Aves, Anseriformes, Anatidae.
UGAGGUAACCUUGAGAGGUCUGAUGACUCAGUAAUAAGGUAGAAUCAGGUCAGGUCAAUGAAAACACUUUUCCUCAACUUGACUUGGGUGUCUGUUUUUACACGGCUUUCUUGGUAUAAAGAUCUCUGUAGCAAAGCCAAUGUUUUCUUGACUGAAAUAUGUUAUUUCAAGCAUUCUGAAAAUAAAAAGAAGGGUUUUCAAGUGGAUGUAUCUGGUAAAAUUACCGUCUUUGGUAUUUCAGUAAUUCGGUGCUUUCCAACAAUCAAAAAAAAAAUGUAGAAAAAUUCCUGUCUGAUGCUAAUUGUCCUGCUCUGACAUUCAGUCCCAAGGAUUUUGAUUAUUCAUACCUAUUCUUUAUUGAAAUGGACUGGAUUCUGCUCACUUCUUGCUUAUUGACACUUAUUUUUAGACAUUGAGAGAAGGAAAUUGCUUAUUACUCCUGUAUCUGUAAGUAACAAAUAAGUUUAAUUUCUGCAGAAGUUAAAUUUCUUUUUGGACAUGAGAUGUAUGUGAAUCACCAUCUUUCUCUCUCACAUAUGUGACUGACUUUUGAUUGCAUUUGAAACUAAGCUGCUCCUUUACAAGCUUCAUCCCUGAUGCUGUGCAGAAAGCAGCUAGAAUGCCCUGAGGGCUGCCAAAGCCUAUUCCAUAUAAUCUUGAAACCAGAAGUUGCUGACCGAGCCGCCUGAAGUGUGGCAAAGAGGCCCAAAGUUUCAGCAAAUGAAUAGCUAUGCUGUACAAACUACAUAUUAUGAGUAUAGCUUUCCAGCAGUACCUUCCUACUCCACCCACGCACUGGGUGGUUUUCUCUUCAGUCUGAAAUGCUGAGCCUGUUGGAAUGAGUAAUCUGCAAAGUAUAUGCUUAUAGAAGGGGUUACUUACAGUGCUCAGGUGUCAAAAUGUAUUUUCUCAUCAUCUGACAUGAGAUGAAAACACAAAGCAGUGCGAGGCACCUGUAUAACUGCGCAGCAAGCAGCUCCCUUUGUGCUUUCAGAAAUGGUUCUCCAGGAGCUGACGCAGCGCAAUCUCACCCCAUCACCUGGGCAGUCGGUUUCUGGCCAGCUGGAUGACCAGGAGGGCUGCUUGUGAAGCACUUGUAGAUUUAUCGCAGGAAUCCAAACGUCCUGUGAGUGUGGAAACUGCGCCUUGCUGAUACAAGUUUCUUCACAGCCAAAACGCAUCAUUUUUUUUACUGGUGCACAGCAGCCUAAGACUGGACUUCGGAAAGACCCAAAUCAAGAGCUCACAGAUUCCAGAAUAGUGUGCCAAAGUAGACAGAGAAUAUUACAUUUUCAUUUUAAAGUGUUGCUAUUUUAGACGUUAGGCACAGUUCCUUACAUCCUGAUAAGAUCUGCAGCAUCAGGUUGGCCAGAAUUCCCUCUGUCGGAGCAUGGUUGCUACAAAAACAAAGCCAAAGCAUUCAGCCUUGCAGUUUUAACUGUUUUAAUUUUAAAGGCAAUGCCUAUAUUGUAGAACUUUGUGAAAAUUCAGCAGUGCCGAGCCCUGGCCCUACUCUGCUUCCACAGACUGGAAGUAUUUCUGCACACGCUCUUUGUAAGUGCCUCCAUCAAAAGAAUCUGCUGUUCCUGCGGGUCCAGCAAUGAAAGUGAUUCCACUUAAAAUUGUCAUACCAGAGUCAAGACUAUGUUCAAAUGCUUUGCUUAGAAAAUCAAAUGACCUCUGUUGCGUCAAGCCUCUUUUGAAAUAGUAAAACUUAGUAAUUUGCCAGGGUAAGCACGCUUUUAGGCUUUGCCUGCCCCGAGUUGGGAAGUAAACUGUGGGACAGGUGGAUAUGGCUGAACUGGCUGCACCGCGAUGACCUCGAAGGACAAAGUCCAAGCAGUGUGCUGUGGCAGCAUGGGCUCCAGCAGAAACCAGGCACCCCACUACGGACUUGAGCUUUUGACUGAUUUCCUCCAACUGCCAAAAUCUGCUACAGUGUUUUCUCAGGCAUGCCCCGAAUGCCUCCACAUAACGAUCUGUGUGCAGCCUCAGACAUUUGGAAGUAAUUCCAUUUCUCACUGUAUACUUGAGGCUUGAUUGUUGUCAUCAGGGACUAUUUGUAUGAGCACUGCUGCAGGCCAGGCUCUUCAAACUCCCUCUUCAACCUUUUCUCCUACCAAGGAAUUUGACCAGCCAUUCUACUUCUGAACCAAAGUAACAGUGGAGAAAAAUAAAGACAUUUUUACACCUGUCCUUAUUUACGGGAUGACUCUAGUGAGUUAGUUAAACCAAAUGCUUUUCUGCUAUGCACAGACUCAACGCUGUAAGGUUACCCACAGAAAAAGACCAAUGUGACCAAUCUUUCCAGUGCACUGCCCUGUCCAUAGGAUAAGAUGGGGUCUUUAGAAAGGCUGCCUUGUUCAUUAAUUAGCUCAGGAAUGAUGAAGUCAAUAUGCAGAUACAACACCAUCAGAUACUCUUAAUGAAUUGAGCAGUAUAAGAAACAGUGGAUAACACUGUAGGACCAGGAAGAGAAAUCCUUUUUACCAGAAGGGCUCCCAGUAUAUUCUACCUUCAUAUCCAGCAUGUGUUGGACCUCGUAAUUAAAAUAUUGUUCUCGAUUGUUGUGUUUUGGAAAUCAAAUUUUUCCAUUAAAAAAGAGAGCAAAACUAUUGUUCUCACUGGUUGAGCCAUAACUACGUGAACCUGUGAGUGAGGGGAAAUCUGGACCAACAAACCAAAUGUUGGGGUAGUAUUGCUCCCAUCCAGUUAAGGAAAUGUGGGGAAUCAGUUAUAUUCUUAGAAUAUCAAGUUAAAAUUCAUUCAGAGGAGUCUAACAAUAUCCUAAGCGUGGUUCUUGCUUUUCAGCUUUCCCCAUUCAUCCAAAUUUUGAAUCACAGUGCUGAGAUGGAAAACAGAAUUAUUUAUUUUGGCAAAAUUUUCUGGAAGGGAUAAAACCAAUAGCCAGAUCACACUCAGAGGCCUUUACGUGGGAGGUUCUCUCUUCUCCUGAGUCAACAUAUAUUGGUUUAUCAUUGAUUUUUGCUUCUGGACUGCUCUUCAGAGCUUGGAGGUUGGGUUUUCUUGGUUGACAAACCUUGGUGGGUGAACUCCCUCCCUGUAGUGCCAGCCAGAACAGCUGGCCAGCUGCAAAGUGCAUGUAUUCAGUAAGGCUCCGGUUAACUGCUGUAGCAAUUUCAGCAGUUAAUUAAGUCCCUGCUUGGGAGCUGACUUACAUCUUGAUACUUGGCAGUAUUUAUUUAUACUUAAUGUUAUGGUAGUGGACUUUGCAAGAAAAACAGUUGAGUCUCUGUAAUUUUCCAUUCC